RNAcentral lists this transfer RNA (84 nucleotides) under Candidatus Iainarchaeum sp. Its description in RNAcentral is "tRNA-Leu". It matches the Rfam family "tRNA". Rfam says of the family: Transfer RNA (tRNA) molecules are approximately 80 nucleotides in length. The record is from RNAcentral. Lineage: Archaea; Nanobdellati; Candidatus Iainarchaeota; Candidatus Iainarchaeia; Candidatus Iainarchaeales; Candidatus Iainarchaeaceae.
GCACGGGUAGCGAAGCGGUCAAACGUGCUGGCUUCAGGAGCCAGUGGCUUAGUGCCUUCGGGGGUUCAAAUCCUCCCCCGUGCA